AAUUGAAGCAGAGGACAGUGGCAAACGGGUGAGUAACACGUAAACAACCUGCCUUCAGGAUGGGGACAACAGACGGAAACGACUGCUAAUACCGAAUACGUUCCUUAGGUCGCAUGAUCUUAGGAAGAAAGGGUGGCCUCUACCUGUAAGCUAUCGCCUGAAGAGGGGUUUGCGUCUGAUUAGCUGGUUGGUGAGGUAACGGCCCACCAAGGCGACGAUCAGUAGCCGGUCUGAGAGGAUGAACGGCCACACUGGUACUGAGACACGGACCAGACUCC
Molecule: ribosomal RNA, 278 nt
Filed under: uncultured Dialister sp.
Lineage: Bacteria; Bacillati; Bacillota; Negativicutes; Veillonellales; Veillonellaceae
Description: partial 16S ribosomal RNA
Rfam family: Bacterial small subunit ribosomal RNA
Source: RNAcentral